This 52-nucleotide transfer RNA is filed under the name Scarelus sp. UPOL 000582. RNAcentral's name for it is "partial tRNA-Ser". Lineage: Eukaryota; Metazoa; Arthropoda; Insecta; Coleoptera; Lycidae. The record is from RNAcentral.
AAAGAAAUAAUAUAAGAAAAGCUUCUAACUUUUCAAUUAGCAAUUAGUUAAU